Molecule: microRNA, 17 nt
Filed under: Corchorus olitorius
Lineage: Eukaryota; Viridiplantae; Streptophyta; Magnoliopsida; Malvales; Malvaceae
Description: hsa-miR-31
Source: RNAcentral
AAUAGAAUUGUUUAAUC